Molecule: non-coding RNA, 1112 nt
Organism: Schizosaccharomyces pombe (fission yeast)
Lineage: Eukaryota; Fungi; Ascomycota; Schizosaccharomycetes; Schizosaccharomycetales; Schizosaccharomycetaceae
Source: the annotation of a GenBank genome assembly
AAAUUAAGAGAUAGAUGAAUUUACCAACAAUUAAUCUAGACAAUGAACAAUAUCCACUUAUCACUCAUAAAAUCCAAAGAAAUGUUGAAAGGAACCCGUGAGAAAUAAAAAAAGAAUUUAUAAACUGUCCAAGCUCACUGUUAGAACGUUUCAAAAGAAAGUCCUAGAAAAUCGGACUUAUGAACCUAGCACGUCUCUGGUUAAAUACCAACAGACCCAGCAUACAAAAACGCAAAUCCUGGCUUAGAACUUUGAACAACACUUGUUUAUAUUCUCAAAGAAUAAAGCAGUACUUUUGUUUCGACCUUUUAGACUGGUAAGCUUAGACCAACGAAGGUGAUCGUCUGGAUGACAAGUUGGGAAAGGUUAGCUUGAGUAAAGAUGGAGGCUUAGCAGAUACUUCUGAGUCAAGCUAUUACAACUCCAAAAUGUAAAAGAAGUAUAAUCAAUUCAGAGAAUAGUUUUAAAAAAAUUGAAUACUCCCGUAGAUGAUUUUUUGGUAACCAAUACAUAUCUGAAAUUUUUUCAUGUUAAUGAAUUUUCUGAUUUUUUGAAAAGCAGGUCAAUUGAGUUUCAUCAUUACUAAAAAUGUUUAAAACCUGUUUCAAAGAAUUAUUUUCUUAAAAAAAAAAAAAAAUAUUACAUUCAGAAGAAAGCAGGGCUAAGAAAUAAAACAGUGGCGUAACAUUAUAAAGCUUUAUACUAAUAUAAUUCGGAAUCCCUCUUUUCCUUGAUAAUUUGUUUCAUCUUCCUUGGUAUGAUGAAUAAAUACGAAGCAUUGAAGACAUAAUUUCAUAAACGGUCAUGAACCUAGGAAAUUGGUCCUACCCAUGACAAGAUAUAAGCCUUGUAAAUUUAAUGGUAAAUUUGAAUUUGAAAAAUCCAUUCAUAUUAAGAAUAAACAUACUGGUUUCCAUUUUUAAAGCGGUUACACUUGACUAGAAGCGUAAAAGGCUUGAUGAACAACUAUUGAUAUGGCAGCUAGAAAACAAUAUUAUUAUCAUUGUCUAGCUGACUUAUAUCACAAUUUGGGGAGGUAAGCAAUUUGAAAGAUAAAAAAGUAUCCAAAUUAUUAGACUCAAAAAGAUAGCAUUUCAACGAAAAAUCAUUAU